RNAcentral lists this ribosomal RNA (947 nucleotides) under Apis mellifera (honey bee). RNAcentral describes it as "partial 16S ribosomal RNA". The record is from RNAcentral. Lineage: Eukaryota; Metazoa; Arthropoda; Insecta; Hymenoptera; Apidae.
UUUUGUACCUUUUGUAUCAGGGUUGAUUAAAAUUUAUUUAAUGAUUUUAAAUAUCUCGAAAAUAAGGGAGCUAAAUUUAUAUUAUUUUUUUUGUAGCAAUAAAAUUAUAAAUAUAGAUUUAGAAAUUAAAUGUUAAACGAACUUAUUAAUAUCUAGUUUUUUUAGAAAUAAAUUUAAUUUAGAUAUAAUUAUUUUAGUAAAUUAAAUUUUAUUUUAAUUUAUUAAUUUUUAUAUUAAAAAUUUAUGGGAUAAUCUAUAAAUUUAAGAUAAAAAUUUAAUUUUAAUUUUUAAUGUUAUAGAGAUAAUAUUUUUCUUUAAUUUUAAUAAUUUAAUAAUUUAAUAUUUAUAAAUUAAUAAUGAUUUAAAUUUAUAUUUUAUUUUUCUAUAAAAAUUUAUAUUUUAAUUAAUAAAAUAUAGAAAUAAUGAUUAGAUUAGUAAUAAAGUUAUAUUUUAUAAUGAUAUUUUGUAUUAUAUAAUUUAAAGGAAUUCGGCAAAUAUAUUAUUCACCUGUUUAUCAAAAACAUGUCCUGUUGAUUAUAAUUUUAGGUCGAUCUGCUCAAUGAAUUAUUUUAAAUAGCUGCAGUAUGUUGACUGUACAAAGGUAGCAUAAUAAAUUGUCUUUUAAUUGAAGAAUUGUAUGAAAGAAUUAAUGAAAUAAUAACUGUCUCUAAAUUAUUAAAUGAAUUUAAAUUUUUAGUUAAAAUUCUAAAAUUUAAUUAUGGGACGAUAAGACCCUAUAGAAUUUAAUUUAAUUUUUAAAUUUAUUUAUAAUUUUAAUAAAUAUAUUUAAGAUUAAAUUUGAUUGGGAGGAUUGGUAAAUUUAAUAAACUUUAUUUAAGAUUUAAUUUUGAUAUAAAGAUAAUUUUCUGAAUUAUAAAUUGUAAUUAAAAGAAUAAAUUACCUUAGGGAUAACAGCGUAAUAUCUUUUGAUAGAUCAUAUAGAUAAA